GACGAACGCUGGCGGCGUGCUUAACACAUGCAAGUCGAACGGUGAAGCGAGUGCUUGCCCCCGUGGAUCAGUGGCGAACGGGUGAGUAACACGUGAGUAACCUGCCCAUCACUCUGGGAUAAGCACUGGAAACGGUGUCUAAUACUGGAUACGACCAACCCUUGCAUGGGGUGUUGGUGGAAAGAUUUAUCGGUGAUGGAUGGACUCGCGGCCUAUCAGCUUGUUGGCGGGGUAAUGGCCCACCAAGGCGACGACGGGUAGCCGGCCUGAGAGGGUGACCGGCCACACUGGGACUGAGACACGGCCCAGACUCCUACGGGAGGCAGCAGUGGGGAAUAUUGCACAAUGGGCGAAAGCCUGAUGCAGCGACGCCGCGUGAGGGAUGACGGCCUUCGGGUUGUAAACCUCUUUCAGCAGGGAAGAAGCGAAAGUGACGGUACCUGCAGAAGAAGCACCGGCUAACUACGUG
RNAcentral lists this ribosomal RNA (469 nucleotides) under uncultured bacterium. RNAcentral's name for it is "partial 16S ribosomal RNA". It matches the Rfam family "Bacterial small subunit ribosomal RNA", at positions 28 to 507 of the family's 1533-position model. The record is from RNAcentral.